AGGACGAACGCUGGCGGCGUGCUUAACACAUGCAAGUCGAGCGGAAAGGCCCUUCGGGGUACUCGAGCGGCGAACGGGUGAGUAACACGUGAGUAACCUGCCCUUCACUUUGGGAUAACCCUCGGAAACGGGGGCUAAUACCGGAUACGACAUGGGAUCGCAUGGUCUCGUGUGGAAAGUUUUUCGGUGGGGGAUGGGCUCGCGGCCUAUCAGCUUGUUGGUGGGGUGAUGGCCUACCAAGGCGACGACGGGUAG
Molecule: ribosomal RNA, 255 nt
Filed under: uncultured bacterium
Lineage: Bacteria
Description: partial small subunit ribosomal RNA
Rfam family: Bacterial small subunit ribosomal RNA
Source: RNAcentral